Molecule: long non-coding RNA, 296 nt
Filed under: Brassica napus (rape)
Lineage: Eukaryota; Viridiplantae; Streptophyta; Magnoliopsida; Brassicales; Brassicaceae
Description: long non-coding RNA (BNAP_LNC019906)
Source: RNAcentral
UUUGUCUGAUCAAUAAUACGUCUCUUCAAGCCCAUAUUUUCAUUAUUCUCUCAAAUCCUUACGAAAUACAUACAAACUCAUUCGGUUUACCGGCUUGUCCAUCGUUCCGUAGUACUCACAAAGAGCCUACACAAAAAUCCCCUAACAAUUUGGCGCUAGAAGGAGGGGGGUAAUCUAACUACGUGACAAUGACGGUGGGUGAGCACGACGGCGAACCACCUGAAGCUACUCAAACAACAGCUGAGCUUCAAAGGCAAAUAGACAGCCUGCGAGGCCAAAUAACCGACAUACACCGA